AUUGAACGCUGGCGGAAUGCUUUACACAUGCAAGUCGAACGGCAGCACGGACUUCGGUCAGGUGGCGAGUGGCGAACGGGUGAGUAAUACAUCGGAACGUGCCCAGUCGUGGGGGAUAACGUAGCGAAAGCUACGCUAAUACCGCAUACGAUCUAAGGAUGAAAGCGGGGGAUCGCAAGACCUCGCGCGAUUGGAGCGGCCGAUGGCAGAUUAGGUAGUUGGUAGGGUAAAGGCCUACCAAGCCGACGAUCUGUAGCUGGUCUGAGAGGAGGAUCAGCCACACUGGGACUGAGACACGGCCCAGACUCCUACGGGAGGCAGCAGUGGGGAAUUUUGGACAAUGGGCGCAAGCCUGAUCCAGCCAUUCCGCGUGCAGGAUGAAGGCCUUCGGGUUGUAAACUGCUUUUAUACAGAACGAAAAGGCUCUGGUUAAUACCCGGGGCUCAUGACGGUACUGUAAGAAUAAGCACCGGCUAACUACGUGCCAGCCGCCGCGGUAA
This 500-nucleotide ribosomal RNA is filed under the name uncultured bacterium. Its description in RNAcentral is "partial 16S ribosomal RNA". It matches the Rfam family "Bacterial small subunit ribosomal RNA", at positions 30 to 523 of the family's 1533-position model. The record is from RNAcentral.